RNAcentral lists this ribosomal RNA (28 nucleotides) under Vibrio crassostreae. RNAcentral's name for it is "partial 23S ribosomal RNA". Lineage: Bacteria; Pseudomonadati; Pseudomonadota; Gammaproteobacteria; Vibrionales; Vibrionaceae. The record is from RNAcentral.
GUUGUAUGGUUAAGUGAACUAAGCGUAC